GUUGGUGCUUUAGCGGAGGGGGUACACCCGUUCUCAUUCCGAACACGGAAGUUAAGCCCUCCAUCGCCGAUGGUACUCCUUUAUUGGGGCAGAGUAGGUAGGCGCCAACU
Molecule: ribosomal RNA, 110 nt
Filed under: Candidatus Kaiserbacteria bacterium RIFCSPHIGHO2_01_FULL_46_22
Lineage: Bacteria; Candidatus Kaiseribacteriota
Source: RNAcentral